RNAcentral lists this ribosomal RNA (285 nucleotides) under uncultured bacterium. Its description in RNAcentral is "partial 16S ribosomal RNA". It matches the Rfam family "Bacterial small subunit ribosomal RNA", at positions 532 to 816 of the family's 1533-position model. The record is from RNAcentral.
AUGCGAGCGUUAUCCGGAAUUAUUGGGUUUAAAGGGUGCGUAGGCGGAAUGGUAAGUCAGCGGUGAAAUACUGCAGCUCAACUGUAGUUGUGCCGUUGAUACUGUCCUUCUUGAGUAUAGAUGAGGUAGGCGGAAUGAGUAGUGUAGCGGUGAAAUGCAUAGAUAUUACUCAGAACACCGAUUGCGAAGGCAGCUUACUAAACUAUAACUGACGCUGAAGCACGAAAGCGUGGGUAUCAAACAGGAUUAGAUACCCUGGUAGUCCACGCUGUAAACGAUGAUCUC